GCCCCUUGUGAGCAUUGCCCAGCGCAACCCAAAGCGGCUUACAACCAACCAGACAGAUUCCACCCACGAGUGGGUCCAACAGGCAAGAAGGCAGUUUUUGCAAGUGCUGCAGAGAGAAGUGAAGGGCAGAUGGAGCUCAUCCCAUCGCCCAGCUGUGAGUGGUGAAGGCUGCUCCCUGCAAGGCCCUUUCCACCUGGCCUGGGGUGGGGCCCAGACUCACCAGCCCCACUGAAGAGGCUCCUCAUGAGGCUGGAGGAACAUCACUAUGCCUGGCAACAAAUCCCACUUAUUGGAUUCUUCUGCCCCAUCUUUUUGUGCCUGCCAAACAGCCGUGUCAUGCUUAUAAUAUUUUAUUCUCUUGUUAACUAUGCUGUUUUAAAUGUGCAUUUUAUAUUUGACUUCACUUAGCAAUGUUUUCUUUUGAAAUGGUUAAGGUUUUGUUUUUUGUUAACUUUGUGUUAAAUAUGUAUUCUGUAGUUGACCUGCUUUGUAAUGUUUUAUUUUGAAAUCUUUGAGAUGGUA
Molecule: long non-coding RNA, 522 nt
Organism: Podarcis raffonei (Aeolian wall lizard)
Lineage: Eukaryota; Metazoa; Chordata; Lepidosauria; Squamata; Lacertidae
Exons: 2
Source: RefSeq, a predicted model, not a curated record